Molecule: transfer RNA, 73 nt
Filed under: Ailuropoda melanoleuca (giant panda)
Lineage: Eukaryota; Metazoa; Chordata; Mammalia; Carnivora; Ursidae
Rfam family: tRNA
About the family: Transfer RNA (tRNA) molecules are approximately 80 nucleotides in length. Their secondary structure includes four short double-helical elements and three loops (D, anti-codon, and T loops).
Source: Rfam by way of RNAcentral
ACCUGGCUGGCUCGGUUAGUAGAGCAUGCAACUCGUGAUCUCAGGGUUGUGGGUUCAAGCCCCAUGUUGGGUG